AAACUCAUUAGCAAACUCCUCCCAAGACAUGUUAUCCAACCUAGGGUCCACAUAGACGCCAAACCAUUCCUUCGCCUUCUUACAUUUUAAAGUGAACCCUGCCAUCUGAAUGGCUCUGGUAUCAUCUGCCCCUAACUCAUCUGCUAUCAUUUUGACUGCUUUAAUGUACUCAAACGGAUCAUCUCCGGAUUGAUACUUAGGAGCAUCUAACUUUAGGUAAUCAGUCAUCUUUACCUUGCUCCUCACAGAUGGGCCAGGUUGAGGUGUUUGGAUAACUGGGGCUUCUGGUUGUACCACUGGUGGUGGUGGGGGAGGUGCAGAACUUUCUGGUGUAGAGUA
RNAcentral lists this long non-coding RNA (339 nucleotides) under Manihot esculenta (cassava). Its description in RNAcentral is "long non-coding RNA (MESC_LNC009007)". Lineage: Eukaryota; Viridiplantae; Streptophyta; Magnoliopsida; Malpighiales; Euphorbiaceae. The record is from RNAcentral.